GUACUUUUCUGUGCUGACGACGCCCGCUUUCUCUGUUUAGUCGCUCCGUGAUAAAGCAAUAUAAACUGACCUUGUAUUACGUUAUCAUUAUCUAAGCGAAAGUACCUGUACGGGCCUUCCAUUUCAAGCAAUGGCUCGUGGAAUUUUAGCCGUAACUUUGAUGUUGACGGCAUUAUCAUAUGCUUCAGAUCAUCCGGCGUUGAUGAGCACUAAACACUUGAAGCAAUUUCAGUUCCUAAAGUAUGACAGAACAGAUUUACAUGAAAGACAUCUGAGAGCAAAGAGGUCUGCGGAUAGUAGGGUGGAAAGCCAUAAAACUGUGGAGUUAAAAUUCUCCGCUUACAAUAGGUAUUAUAUCCCAUUUCCUCGUCAAAAGAACACAAUAGAGUGCAUACUCUCUAUUGGAAAAUAUGAUGAUGAUCAUAUAUGUGUAUACAAAAUGUAUUGUUAUGGGAGCGGCUCUAAAUGCCCUGAUGCCGAGUUGAAACCAAACAGAACUGAAUGCAAUGAUAAUAGACAAAUCUGUUACCUUGGGGAAUGUUCUGGAUCCAUCUGUGAAGCAGCAGAUGUUAUGAUGGAAGAAUGUUUCUGCUCUGGUGAAGAGAAAACUCCUGAAGAAAAAUGCCAUCUUUGUUGCCAAGAACCAACAUAUUGGUGGGCAGUGGUGCUGAUGGGUGUUGGUUUGAUUAUUGUCAUGGGGCUUUUCAUCAAAAUAUGCAGUGUAGCAACGCCGAGCAGCAAUCCAAAGUUGCCACCUGCACGCACCCUAUCACGGAAAAAUCGUACCAACCAAACGCGUGCAAUGGAAUUGCAGUGAACAUCUAUUGCCGUAUACUACUUAAUAGGUUGUGGUGUUUUUCAAUUUGCAGUGUUCCCUAGUUGUCACACUGCGUGUUUGAAUAUCGUGUAAAAAGUGUAAUUUCAUCCAAUGUGGAGUGCCUGACAUAUACUUUAUUACAAUACCCUCAUGGUUUUAUUUUUGGAACUUUUUGUAGUUUUUAAACACAUUUUUCUCUACUAUCAUGGCACUUACCAUAUUGGCUCUAUUAGUAUGGCAUGCAUUUAAGUCAAUUACAGAACUCUGUCUGGGUAACAUAUUUUAAUAAUCCAGCAUACAAUAAAUUCAAUUCUAAUAGAGCAUUUACAGUAUUUGUUAAAUAAUUGAUUAGCGGGGUGUAUAUUGCCACUGCUGUUGAUAUCUGGGUGGUAAAUUGGGCUUGGAUAAAUUGGACAUACUUGUACAUUUUGAACAAAUAUUUGUAAUUUUUUAUAUGUAUACACUGUAUUAGGAACUGGUUAAAAAAAUUAAAAUAGAACUGGUAAUUGUACUUUUGAUAUAAACUUGGGUGCCUUUUUCUGUAAACCAGUUUAAAUUUAAUUUUUUUUAGAGAAAAGUGGGUAUGGAGCUUGCGCUUUCGAUAAUUUGAUAUGUGUGUCACCUUGAUUAAACCUACCUUUUCCAUGCUAUGAAUGGAAUUGUCCUUAUACAUGCCAGUGUCUGAUUUUGUUUUAGUGAAUUUUUGAUUUAUUUCUUUUUAGUGUUAAAUUAGUAUUUUAGGGAUGUUCAAGUUUAUUUAUUUCAUUUGACACAUUUGUAUAAUACACCUAUCCUACUUUGCAUACAAUUGAGCCCCCUAGCCAGCCUACUUGCAUUUCAGUGUGUCCCCUAGCCUACUUGUCAUUCUAGUAGGCCCUCUAACCUACUUGUCAUUCUAGUAAAGCCCCCUAGCCUACUUGUCAUUCCAGCCUACUAGCUUACUUUGAAUUCUGAUGAGCUCUCCUGCCUAUUUAUAGUCAACUAUAAAAGGUUCUGUGUUUCUCUUGAAAAAGAAAAAAUCAUGAAUAAUAUCAAUGCUAGUAAUUAUUUAAGAGUGAAUUGAAUUUAUAGAGCUGUAGAAGAAAAGACUAUAUUCAGAUUUCCAAACUGAAUGUUCGAGAGAGCCAAUUUAUGUGUUUUUUUAGAAAUUAGAGGUUUACACUCUGAAAUGAGAAAUUUUCCAAAUCUAGAACACGCUUAAGAAGCUCAAUUUGUGCAUGUCUUGUUAUAGGGUUUACCCUAUCGCAAUAUUAAAUGAGAAUGCUUUUAUUUUGUCUUUGUAGAUGACUCAAUACUGCAGUGUGUCAGUGUUAUUUGGUUCUCUUUGUGUGUGGGAAAGUGUUUUUUAGUUUCCAAUAGAACACAUCAGGUGCAUGUCAGUUGUUUAUUUGAUGUGUGGUUAUUAUGUGACAUAUUCAUUUUUACUGUUUGGUGUAGACUGUCGACAGUUCUUGGCCUAAUUUGUAUUUGAUUUAGUAUACUAAAAAAUUAAGCCUGAGGACUGUCGACAGUCUGUUUGGUGUUACGGUUAGGUAGCAUUGAUUUCAAAAUCUGCAGAAUUUUCAACAGUAUUUUCCAUCCUCAGAAUCCAAGUCAAUGCAAAGCUGCUUAAAAGCUUGUACCUGAUUGGCUACCCAACCAUAACACCCAACAUUUGGACCAAUUAGAGAGCAACUUGUUUGUUGCAGGAUCAUUUCAAAGUAUCAAAUUCUGCCUUGUAUAUAUAUGCUUCAACUGAACUGGAAAAAUCCUAGUCUUUGCAAUGCUGCAUCAAAUACCUUAGUUUGAAUAUUUAUUUUCAUAAGCCUAAAUGGCCUGGUACUUACACUAAACUUUUACAUAUUCCCACAACAAAUGUUCCAUUAUAAGUAAUCUUAUCUAACACAUCACCUGCUCCACAGGUAUAUAAAUAAAUGGUAGAUAAUGUCGGCAGACCAUCUGUAAAUUUAUUGACGAGACAUGAUGCAAGUCUUUUGUUUUAUGAAGAUUUCAGUUUUACUUUCAAACGUAAUCUGUUGAUGUAAAAAUUAUUAAAUCUGCAUUGCAUGUACAUGUUAAAGUUAAUAUUUUCUAGUUAUUUUCUUCAUCAUUGUCAUUGGGCAUAUUUGAUUACUGAGGAUUUCAUACAAAUUUAUUUAAAUGAGUUGUUUGUUUUUCUCCCACAUUUUACCAGUAUGUUGUGAAAGUCGCUGUUGGCACCGGUCAAAGAAUGUCCAUUUCUGUUUUUUCUAAUUAGGAAUAGAUACUUUCUUUUAAUACUAAAUUUUUGGCAAGAGAAUCAUAUUCAGAAUUAUUUUGUGCGGGUGCAGGAUUAUUUAGAUGUGUGUGUCAUAUCUAAAGUAGAUGAUAUUUUCCAUCUGGCCAAUCAGACUUAUUUGUUUUGGUCAGAUGACAAAAUCUCAGAUCAUCUCUGAAAACAUGGAAUAAGUUCAUUGUAUAAUAGGUUAAGUUUGCUUUUUGUUAUUUAUCAAUAUUAGUACAGUCGUAUAUGGGCUGCAUGAACUGAUUGGGUUACAUUGUCAAAUUUGUCUCCCCAAAAACUUGCGUAAUCUUUUCUUGAGUUUCUUGUACAACUACUACAUGUGUGUAACUAGGGGUGAGGGGUGCAUAUUUGGUUUUUCACAUAUUGAUACUUAUUAUACAAUGAAUACCCACAAUUAUAUGCAACCAUAAAUGUUUGAAGAAUUGAGUUAGAAUAAGGAUUAACCAAGAUUGGCUAAUACACUGAAUAAAGGUAGUUUCUUGAGACAAGUUUUAGUCUUGUUUGUACUAAAAACAAAUGCGACACAUUAUUCAAUUCACUAUUUUCACAACUUUGUUGAAAUUUGAACAUUAUGACACAAUUCUCUAACUUUGAUUGGGAAUUUAGUGAUUUAAUGUUUUAAGACUGGGUUUUCAGUAAGUGAUAAAUGUUAUUUAUAAAUAUUGAGUUCUAUUGAUGAACAGACAAAAAAGUCUAUCUCCCUGUAAUUUGUAGCUCUCUGUAAUUCUGAAAUUUCAAUAAAACAAGCUUUUUCAAAAAA
Molecule: small RNA, 3840 nt
Filed under: Saccoglossus kowalevskii
Lineage: Eukaryota; Metazoa; Hemichordata; Enteropneusta; Harrimaniidae
Description: aDAM metallopeptidase domain 10
Source: RNAcentral